This 500-nucleotide ribosomal RNA is filed under the name uncultured bacterium. RNAcentral's name for it is "partial 16S ribosomal RNA". It matches the Rfam family "Bacterial small subunit ribosomal RNA", at positions 29 to 523 of the family's 1533-position model. The record is from RNAcentral.
AUUGAACGCUGGCGGCAUGCCUUACACAUGCAAGUCGAACGGCAGCACGGGAGCAAUCCUGGUGGCGAGUGGCGAACGGGUGAGUAAAGUAUCGGAACGUGCCCAGUCGUGGGGGAUAACGUAGCGAAAGUUACGCUAAUACCGCAUACGAUCUAUGGAUGAAAGCGGGGGAUCGCAAGACCUCGCGCGAUUGGAGCGGCCGAUAUCAGAUUAGGUAGUUGGUGGGGUAAAGGCUCACCAAGCCGACGAUCUGUAGCUGGGCUGAGAGGACGACCAGCCACACUGGGACUGAGACACGGCCCAGACUCCGACGGGAGGCAGCAGUGGGGAAUUUUGGACAAUGGGCGAAAGCCUGAUCCAGCCAUGCCGCGUGCAGGAUGAAGGCCUUCGGGUUGUAAACUGCUUUUGUACGGAACGAAAAGGUUUGGGCUAAUAAGCUGAGCUCAUGACGGUACCGUAAGAAUAAGCACCGGCUAACUACGUGCCAGCAGCCGCCGUAA